UAGGGAAUCUUCGGCAAUGGACGAAAGUCUGACCGAGCAACGCCGCGUGAGUGAAGAAGGUUUUCGGAUCGUAAAACUCUGUUGUUAGAGAAGAACAAGGACGUUAGUAACUGAACGUCCCCUGACGGUAUCUAACCAGAAAGCCACGGCUAACUACGUGCCAGCAGCCGCGGUAAUACGUAGGUGGCAAGCGUUGUCCGGAUUUAUUGGGCGUAAAGCGAGCGCAGGCGGUUUGUUAAGUCUGAUGUGAAAGCCCCCGGCUCAACCGGGGAGGGUCAUUGGAAACUGGGGGACUAGAGUGCGGAAGAGGAGAGUGGAAUUCCAUGUGUAGCGGUGAAAUGCGUAGAUAUAUGGAGGAACACCAGUGGCGAAGGCGGCUCUCUGGUCUGUAACUGACGCUGAGGCUCGAAAGCGUGGGGAGCAAACAGG
RNAcentral lists this ribosomal RNA (429 nucleotides) under Gemmatimonadota bacterium. RNAcentral describes it as "Gemmatimonadetes bacterium partial 16S ribosomal RNA". It matches the Rfam family "Bacterial small subunit ribosomal RNA", at positions 355 to 776 of the family's 1533-position model. Lineage: Bacteria; Pseudomonadati; Gemmatimonadota. The record is from RNAcentral.